AAAGGAAUUGACGGGGACCCGCACAAGUGGUGGAGCGUGUUCUUUAAUACGAGGCUAAGCGUAGAACCUUACCAGGGUUUGAAAUCCCGAGAAGUCUUUCGAAAGUUAGAUGUGCCUUAUGGAACUCGGUGACAGGUGUUGCAUGGCCGUCGUCAGCUCGUGUCGUGAGAUGUUGGGUUAAGUCCCGCAACGAGCGCAACCCCUAUAUUUAGUUGUAUUUUUCUAGAUAGACUGCCUCGGUAACGGGGAGGAAGGAGGGGACGACGUCUGGUCAUUAUGGCCCUUAUACCCUGGGCUAGAAACGCGCUACAAUGGUCGGUACAAUGGGCAUCAGCCAAAUCGCGAGAUGGAGCAAAUCCCAACAAAGCCGAUCUCAGUUCGGAUAGCAGGCUGAAACUCGCCUGCUUGAAGUCGGAAUCACUAGUAACCGUAGGUCAGCACACUACGGUGAAUACGUUCCCGGGUCUUGUACACACCGCCCGU
Molecule: ribosomal RNA, 483 nt
Filed under: uncultured bacterium
Lineage: Bacteria
Description: bacterial SSU rRNA
Rfam family: Bacterial small subunit ribosomal RNA
Source: RNAcentral